AAGUCGUAACAAGGUCUCCGUAGGUGAACCUGCGGAGGGAUCAUUAUUGAAUUUCCAAUAACAGAAGGGACUGACCCGCGAGGGUUGGAUCCUUUCUGAACAACCAACAUACAUGACUAGGAAAUAACAGAUCAAUGGAAUGGUUGGGUUGGGUUUUGGGGGGUUUGACUUGACUUGACUUGUUAUGCUGUGUAUGUGUGUAUCUCUGGAUAUACUAAUACUAGCAGACGCAAGCGAGAGAGAAGUUCUUGGCUGAUAAGUAGCAUUGAUUUGGAAUCUACAAUAAUACAACUUUCAACAACGGAUCUCUUGGCUCUCA
RNAcentral lists this unclassified non-coding RNA (319 nucleotides) under fungal sp. Its description in RNAcentral is "partial internal transcribed spacer region". The stretch from base 1 to 46 matches the Rfam family "Eukaryotic small subunit ribosomal RNA", at positions 1786 to 1831 of the family's 1831-position model. The record is from RNAcentral. Lineage: Eukaryota; Fungi.